CUCGUAGUUGGAUCUCGGUGCCGGUCUGGCGGUCCGCCUCGCCGCGGUCUCACUGCCAGUCCCGGAGCCAUCCCGCCGGCCUUCCCUCGGUGCUCUUUACCGAGUGUCUUGGGUGACCGGAACGUUUACUUUGAACAAAUUAGAGUGCUCCAAGCAGGCGCGUCCCGCCCGCAUAGCCCAGCAUGGAAUAAUGGAAUAGGACCUCGGUUCUAUUUUGUUGGUUUUCGGAACCCGAGGUAAUGAUUAAUAGGGACAGACGGGGGCAUUCGUAUUGCGACGCUAUAGGUGAAAUUCUUGGACCGCCGCAAGACGAACUACUGCGAAAGCAUUUGCCAAGAAUGUUUUCAUUAAUCAAGAACGAAAGUUAUAGGUUCUAAAGCGAUCAAAUACCGCCCUA
Molecule: ribosomal RNA, 397 nt
Filed under: Craterostigmus tasmanianus
Lineage: Eukaryota; Metazoa; Arthropoda; Chilopoda; Craterostigmomorpha; Craterostigmidae
Description: SSU rRNA
Rfam family: Eukaryotic small subunit ribosomal RNA
Source: RNAcentral